AAAUCGUCCCCCAUAAUCGGAAUCUGCGAAGAAUUCUAAGAAAAUUUCACCAUGAAACCAUGUGUCUAAAAUGAAUUCCUAGUCCGCGCCGUGAAGCUUAAAGAUUGCACUAUGAGGUACAUAAGGUAUUUCGAGGUAUUUAAGACAUUUUAAUGUAUUUAAAAAAAAAAUACGCAUUUUCCAAUUAUGUUGGAGUCAAUUCUGAUUCAUUUUUUUACAACAAAUUUUAUAAUUUUUUUUUUUAAAUUUAUUUAACUUAUAAUUUUUUUUUUAAUUCAACAAAAAAAACCAACUAGCCAUGUACUGAGCCUCAUAUAAGAAAGUAGGAGCAAUGCGUACGUAACUUUUUAACGAAGUAAGGUAUCGGUCUGAAAAUUGAAAUAUAUAUUCAAAGGCAUUUUAAGCAACUAAAUAAAAGUGGGCGUGGCAUGAUAAAAGGCGGAAUUUAAUUUUAUUUUUAUUAUAAAGUUUAUUUGCUUUCCAACAAAAUCUCAAGUCUUUCUUUGACUCGAUUUGAGGAACUUUGGAACGACUUUCUAAAGUCAAUGACAUAACAGCAUCUCGAUUCUGUGGCAUAACUCGUCGUGAGACAUGUGUUAACAACUGCACACAUCGUUCGGUGCCCUGAAUGUGCGAUGAAAUUGCUGGAUCUGGCAUUGGUAUUUCAGCAGAAUUUAUGUAUUCCAGCAAGUGAUCGUGUGGGAUGUUUGCAGUAAAUGGAGGUUCAAAUAAGAUGUCGUCAUUAUCCAAGUCAACUAAAUGCAUAUAAUCGGUGCAAUCGAAAUUAAUGCGAUUCUUUUAUAAGAUCUAAGUUUAGUUGGGUCAUAUAAUUUCUCGCGAUAAUACAUAAUUUUAUUAAUUGC
Molecule: long non-coding RNA, 863 nt
Organism: Drosophila sulfurigaster albostrigata
Lineage: Eukaryota; Metazoa; Arthropoda; Insecta; Diptera; Drosophilidae
Exons: 2
Source: RefSeq, a predicted model, not a curated record